GUCUAUGGCCAUGCCACCCUGAACAAGCCCGAUGUCUGAUCUUGGAAGCGAAGCAGGUUCGGGCCUGGUUAGGACUUGGAUGGGAGACCACCUAGGAAGACCAGGUGCUGUAGGCA
This 116-nucleotide ribosomal RNA is filed under the name Pteropus alecto (black flying fox). The record is from RNAcentral. Lineage: Eukaryota; Metazoa; Chordata; Mammalia; Chiroptera; Pteropodidae.